GGCGCUGUGGCUCAGUGGUAGAGUGCUUGCCUUGCAUGCAUGAGGCCCUGGGUUCGAUUCCUCAGCACCA
RNAcentral lists this transfer RNA (70 nucleotides) under Dipodomys ordii (Ord's kangaroo rat). It matches the Rfam family "tRNA". Rfam says of the family: Transfer RNA (tRNA) molecules are approximately 80 nucleotides in length. Their secondary structure includes four short double-helical elements and three loops (D, anti-codon, and T loops). The record is from Rfam by way of RNAcentral. Lineage: Eukaryota; Metazoa; Chordata; Mammalia; Rodentia; Heteromyidae.